RNAcentral lists this ribosomal RNA (514 nucleotides) under uncultured bacterium. RNAcentral describes it as "bacterial SSU rRNA". It matches the Rfam family "Bacterial small subunit ribosomal RNA", at positions 45 to 563 of the family's 1533-position model. The record is from RNAcentral.
UGCCUAACACAUGCAAGUCGAACGAGAAACUUCUAAUUAGUUUACUAAGAAGUUGUUUCUAGUGGCGGAAGGGUGAGUAACGCGUGGGCAAUCUGCCCUGUGGAAAGGGAUAGCCUCGGGAAACCGGGAUUAAUACCUUAUGAUAUUAUCGCUACGCAUGUAGUGAUAAUCAAAGAUUCAUCGCCACAGGAUGAGCCCGCGUCCCAUUAGCUAGUUGGUGAGAUAAUAGCCCACCAAGGCGACGAUGGGUAGCCGACCUGAGAGGGUGAACGGCCACACUGGGACUGAGACACGGCCCAGACUCCUACGGGAGGCAGCAGUGGGGAAUAUUGCGCAAUGGGGGCAACCCUGACGCAGCAACGCCGCGUGAGUGAAGAAGGUUUUCGGAUCGUAAAACUCUGUCUUUGGGGAAGAAUAAAUGACGGUACCCAAGGAGGAAGCCCCCGGCUAACUACGUGCCAGCAGCCGCGGUAAUACGUAGGGGGCAAGCGUUGUCCGGAAUUAUUGGGCGUAA